Molecule: ribosomal RNA, 534 nt
Filed under: uncultured Bacteroidota bacterium
Lineage: Bacteria; Pseudomonadati; Bacteroidota
Description: bacterial SSU rRNA
Rfam family: Bacterial small subunit ribosomal RNA
Source: RNAcentral
UACUGAGACACGGACCAGACUCCUACGGGAGGCAGCAGUGAGGAAUAUUGGUCAAUGGGCGCAAGCCUGAACCAGCCAUGCCGCGUGCAGGAUGACGGUCCUAUGGAUUGUAAACUGCUUUUGCACAGGAAGAAACACUCUCUCGUGAGAGAGCUUGACGGUACUGUGAGAAUAAGGAUCGGCUAACUCCGUGCCAGCAGCCGCGGUAAUACGGAGGAUUCAAGCGUUAUCCGGAAUCGUUGGGUUUAAAGGGUCCGUAGGCGGUUUAGUAAGUCAGUGGUGAAAGCCCAUCGCUCAACGGUGGAACGGCCAUUGAUACUGCUAGACUUGAAUUAUUAGGAAGUAACUAGAAUAUGUAGUGUAGCGGUGAAAUGCUUAGAGAUUACAUGGAAUACCAAUUGCGAAGGCAGGUUACUACUAAUGGAUUGACGCUGAUGGACGAAAGCGUGGGUAGCGAACAGGAUUAGAUACCCUGGUAGUCCACGCCGUAAACGAUGGGUACUAGCUGUUGGGAGCAAUCUCAGUGGCUAAGCG